This 261-nucleotide non-coding RNA is filed under the name Alkaliphilus oremlandii. RNAcentral describes it as "T-box sequence". It matches the Rfam family "T-box leader". Rfam says of the family: Uncharged tRNA acts as the effector for transcription antitermination of genes in the T-box leader family. T-boxes are found upstream of many aminoacyl-tRNA synthetase genes and some amino acid biosynthetic genes usually in Gram-positive bacteria. The anticodon of a specific tRNA base pairs to a specifier sequence within the T-box motif, and the NCCA acceptor tail of the tRNA base pairs to a conserved bulge in the T-box antiterminator hairpin. Lineage: Bacteria; Bacillati; Bacillota; Clostridia; Peptostreptococcales; Natronincolaceae. The record is from RNAcentral.
GCAAAGACGUUGAAGAGAAGAGUAGGUAUGUAAAUACCAAUACAGAGAGCUCCUGUUGGUGAGAUGGAGCAAGGGAAGGCAUAUUGAACAUGGUCUUGGAGUUGGAUUGCUGAAGGGAAACUUUAGGCAGUCACGUAAUGCACACGUUACAGUGCCGGAGUAUUUAAGGAUGGAAUUCCUGCGUACUCGAUGAGGUAUAUGCCGCGAGGCUUAUACGAACUUAGGGUGGUAUCACGAUGCGCUUACGCUUUCGUCCCUUUG